RNAcentral lists this ribosomal RNA (645 nucleotides) under Blastocystis hominis. RNAcentral describes it as "SSU rRNA". The stretch from base 78 to 645 matches the Rfam family "Eukaryotic small subunit ribosomal RNA", at positions 1 to 602 of the family's 1831-position model. The record is from RNAcentral. Lineage: Eukaryota; Bigyra; Opalinata; Blastocystidae.
CAAUGAGUAGCAUCUAUAUUUUUCUUUCACAUUGAUGAAAAUUCAUGCAUUCUGUUUCUUUGUCAUAUGUGCUAUUUAAUCUGGUUGAUCCUACCAGUAGUCAUACGCUCUUCUCAAAGAUUAAACCAUGCAUGUGUAAGGGUAAAUGAUAUUAUAGUAGAACUGCGAAUGGCUCAUUAUAUCAGUUAUAGUUUAUUUGAUGAAAAUUACUAGUUGGAUAACCGUAGUAAUUCUAGAGCUAAUACAUGAGUAAAUCCUUGUCAAAGAGGUGUGUUUAUUAGUAUUAACCAUACGUUGGUGAGUGAUAAUAAUGGUUCAUAUCGCAUGCUUAAGUAGCGAUGGAUCAUUUAAGUUUUUGCCCUAUCAGCUUUGGAUGGUAGUGUAUUGGACUACCAUGGCAGUAACGGGUAACGAAGAAUUUGGGUUCGAUUUCGGAGAGGGAGCCUGAGAGAUGGCUACCACAUCCAAGGAAGGCAGCAGGCGCGUAAAUUACCCAAUCCUGACAUAGGGAGGUAGUGACAAUAAAUCACAAUGCGGAACAUUUGUUUUGCAAUUGUAAUGAGAAAAACGUAAAAGCUUUAUCGAUAAACAAUUGGAGGGCAAGUCUGGUGCCAGCAGCCGCGGUAAUCCAGUUCAAAAGACAAU